Long non-coding RNA from Homo sapiens (human), 1605 nucleotides. Lineage: Eukaryota; Metazoa; Chordata; Mammalia; Primates; Hominidae. The record is from Ensembl.
GUACUCUAGUGGCAAAACUGCUGGCUAGUGUACCUGUUCUGCCAAAAGUAAAAUGGGCUUACUGAGGAAAUUAAAUUUAUGUUCAAGUGCUAUUUCUUUAUGCACCGGGGAACAAGCAUUUCUAACAACCUGGUCCUACGUGGCUGAAACUGGAUCCCAGAAGCCCCGUCCUUCCCGAAGCUCGUAGCGGAAGUGACAUCAGCCCGCCGCCACUAUCUUUUCCCGCGCUGGCUGCCCACGGUCAGUGCUGUUUCACCUUUAUCUUGGUGGAGUCGACCCCGGCUGUGGUGAGUUCCGCCCCUGCUUGGGGGUCCUGGAGACAGGCGGGGGAUGCCAAAGGAAGGAUUGGGUGCGCUCGCCCAGGAGCCUCUCUGAUCCUGCUCAUUUCACUAGCUUCUCCAGGGGUUGUUGGUCCUCCCAGCGUGGCCAGUUCCCAGCUGCAGGUUCAGUCGGUCCACGUCAGGAGCCGCGUCAGGAAGUGUGUUUAUCCCGCGUCCAUGGGAUGUUUUCUGGAGUGCUUUCAUCCGCUGUGCUCCCCUCUUCAAAAGCUUCUAAAGCAACCUUGGUGAAUUUUUUUCUUUCCGAAAGGAAAAGGAUUUCUGCCAUUCUGGUAAGGUUGGCUCUGGCCCCGCAUCCUCCCGCGUCAGGAACCUGGCGAUUCCGGAGUGUUCUUGGACUUCAAAUAACCCUGUACAAAGAGGAAUGGAGAUUGCCUCUAUUCACCUAGAUUCAUAAGUUGCCCUGAGGCAAUCUUGGCAUCAAGGAAGAGAGCAUUGAGGCACAACUGACCAUCAGCUUCAGAGAAUGGCAGUCACUGAUUUGUCCCAUGGGUUUUUUCCCAGGGAACCAAUCUGCCCUUUUGAAGAAAAGACAAAGAUAGGAACGAUGGUGGAGGACUACCUGGCAAAUUCUUAUCAGACAAGAAGCUACAGUGGAUGGAAACUCUGAGAAUUGUGGAGAGGUCUUCAGUGAAUGGUUUUGCCUUAAAACACACAUGAGAGCUCAGAAUGGAGGGAACAUCUUUGAGGGUAAUUGUUAUGGAAAAGACAUCCUCAGUGUGCACAAGGAAGCCUCUAUUGGACAGGAACUUUCCAAAUUUAAUCCAUGUGGAAAAGUCUUCACCUUAACUCCAGAUCUUGCUGCACAUCUUGGAAUUCUCAAUGCAAGACAACCAUACAAAUGUAAGGAAUGUAGAAAAGGCUUUAAGUAUUUUGCAAGCCUUGAUAAUCACAUGGGAAUCCACAUUGGAGAGAAAUUCUGUGAAUUUCAGGAAUGUAGGAGAGCCAUCACUCAUUCCUCACACCUAAAGCAGUGUGUAACAGUUCAUACUGGAAAGAAAUCUAAAAAGACUAAGAAACAUGGGAAAUCCUUCACUAAUUUUUCUCAACUUUCUGCACAUGUGAAAAUUCAUAAAGGAGAGAAGUCCUUUGAAUGUAAAGAAUGUGGAAGAUCCUUUAGAAAUUCCUCAUCCUUUAAUGUUCACAUUCAAAUUCACACUGGAAUAAAACCACACAAAUAUACGGAAUGUGGGAAAGCCUUCACUAGGUCAACUCACCUUACUCAACAUGUAAGAACUCACACUGGAAUAAAACCCUAUGAAUGUAA